AAUCCUAUACUUUUUUUAAAAAAAGUUUGCGUGUUUUCUUCAGUUUUAUACAUGUCCAAAAGACCAGAGUUUGGAAAGGUUUUAGAGAUCCAAAGCCUAUGUUAUGUGAAGACGACGGAGAAAAAAUUGUCACUGCGUUUCAAAUAAAGAUGGUUCAUGAAACUUCACCAAUGAACCCAUGGAUAAUAUGUGAAUGGUCUGUUGUCAAAGGAAUACAUCGAUUUAAUAAAAAGCGUCUGGAGAACAAGGAUACCGUUAAUUCUUUGUCAUUUUUACGUGUUUGUAUUAGUUAGAUGCAUGUGAAGAAACGCUUGUGAACGGGUUAAUUCCGUCUCAAGAAAGGAUAUUGCUCCCGUUCGAAACAAAGCGGCUCUAUGUAUGAAGGGUUGAAAUGC
Molecule: long non-coding RNA, 395 nt
Organism: Hylaeus volcanicus
Lineage: Eukaryota; Metazoa; Arthropoda; Insecta; Hymenoptera; Colletidae
Exons: 3
Source: RefSeq, a predicted model, not a curated record